AAUCCAUCAAGACCGGCAUAGGGAUAGGCCCGAUGACGCCGGGGCAACCAACAGCGAUGCAAAUCGCUGGAAAGGUGCCAACUCCUACGGGGACUUCGGUCCGCCGGAAGAUGGAUC
This 117-nucleotide non-coding RNA is filed under the name Arenimonas oryziterrae. RNAcentral's name for it is "SAM-I sequence". It matches the Rfam family "SAM riboswitch aptamer (S box leader)". From Rfam's summary of the family: The SAM riboswitch is found upstream of a number of genes which code for proteins involved in methionine or cysteine biosynthesis in Gram-positive bacteria. The SAM riboswitch acts at the level of transcription termination control. RNAcentral also lists the same sequence under 1 other name. Lineage: Bacteria; Pseudomonadati; Pseudomonadota; Gammaproteobacteria; Lysobacterales; Lysobacteraceae. The record is from RNAcentral.